RNA transcript from Capra hircus (goat), 3768 nucleotides. It is a transcript of the gene named adipogenin, with no coding region annotated. The transcript is spliced from 3 exons. Lineage: Eukaryota; Metazoa; Chordata; Mammalia; Artiodactyla; Bovidae. The record is from RefSeq and is a predicted model, not a curated record.
GUACCGUUUUUCUAGACUUCAUAAAAUUUUUUUAAAUUAAAAGUACUUGGCAUUUUCUGCUGAAAGGAGGUCAUGUAAGUAAAGCACUGCUGUCAAAAGGCCCACCUGACAGAGGCUAGCAGUUGCUGAGGGGCUAGCUGGCUCUCUGCGUCUUGAGAACCAGAAAUGCCAGCUGUGCUCCCUGCCUGCAGAAGAACAGAGCUCCAUCAGGACUGGCCAGUCAGGAAAGCAGAGACACAGGGGGAGCGCCUCCUCUGCCCACUGGCCCUGAGCAGAGCUGGCUGCAGCACGUUCCAUGGGGCCCAUUAGCACCUAAUGCCUGUGCCACAGGUGGUGGCACAGCUGUGUGCCACUUGAGCACACAGCUAUGGUGUGGGCCUCUGCCCAGAGCCGCCCCUCCAGCCUGCCACUGACCGCGUGACACUAAUGUGUGACUCCUCACAAAGUAUGCCUGGAAGCCAGGGCUGGGAGCUGCCUCCCCUGCAGCCGUGUGUCUAUGCCUGCUCCCCCCAGGACCUGCUGCUGUGUCCUGGUGGCCAGGGAAGCUUAGCCCUGGGCUGACUGCCCGGGGACCCUGUUGUGGGGUCUGGAAAAGAAAUGAGUACUCAAGUCUGUCUCAGCUACGUUGCUCAGUUUUUUCUGCCCCCAGCCCCUUCAGGACCCAGGGCCAAGAAAUCACCCCAACCCAGACCCAUUUCCUCUACUCUUGGCCCCAGGGUCCUCAAUGGCACAGCUCACCAGGGAACCAUGCUUUGAAGGUACACAUUCUAAUACUAUCUGCCUUGACUUCUGCUGGGGACUCUGGUCAUUCCACAGUUGGACUAAGACUCCGUCUAAACACACUGGCCCUCUGAGCCCCAAAUGUUACCCACUGUUUUGCUGAAAGUUUUCAAUUAUCUGUUUGGCUGUGCUGGCUUAGUUGUGACAUGGGGGAUCUCUACUUGAGUUAUGUGGGAUCUAGUUCCCUGACCAGAGAUGGAAUCCAGGCUUAUUCACUGGACCACCAGGGAAGUCCCUGUUUUGCUGAAAAUUUUACUUUUGUUUUAGAUUUGUUAAACCACUCAUUACAUGCAAUUUCAAUUUUUUAUAGCUUAUUAGACUUAAUUUCAGUAUAUAGUCAUUAAAAGAAAAGAAACAAUAGAGAAAAUAACAGUGUAUAUAUCACCAAAUUGGGCCAACCUACAUCCAGACUUGAACAGCACUGGGAAGUCCCUCGUUAACAGCAAUCUGGAGUACCAGUUGGGAAAGGGUCCCUAGUAGUAUGUCCACCCCAAUGGAAAGACUUCAAAUUGCCGUUUCGGGGGCUCCCGCUUACAAACCCAGGUUGCAAACUGAUAUCACCAUCAGUUUACAGGCAAAAAAUGCAGCUCUGGUUUUACUUAGAGUUUUUAACAAUGCUUUUCAUUUCACCAUGUGAGUCAUAGGAUUUUGUUAGACCCUAGGGGAUUGGCCAGACCUCCUGGGGCUCAAGAAUUCCAAGGCCAUUCCCUUUCUUAUCUAACAUGCUCCCUGACUUGCUGUGCUUGUAAGCAGGCAUGGAAUCCAGGCAAUGUCCAGGUAAGUCAGAGGCCUGCUCUCCUGCUUCUGAAGCCUGAAUAAGACUUUCUCCAUUUUAAUUUCCCUAACACCUGCCCCAUUGUUACAGUGGUGUCCCCCCUUGCCCUUCUCCUUUGGCCAGUGUUUUCUAAGGAGGUCCGUCCACUCCGUGUCUCCCCUAAGUCUACCCCUCUUCCUGCAGCUGCUUCCCCAGCCUGGAACUGGGUCUGCCUGACUUUCCAGCCUGUGCUUCACUUGAUGCCAUGGUCUCAAAAUCAAGUCGGCAUCAGACUGGUUGCCCGUUGACAUGUGGAUUCCAAACAUCACCCCCAGAGGUUCUGACUGCCGAGCAGGGUGAACUGUGCCAAUCAGCCUGUUUCCUAGGUCCCCUCCCCCCACCCCCAUCUGCUGGCAGUGGUUGAGGCAGGUGGGCCAAGCACCCUCUUGGAGGAUACCACACUUCUUUCUUCCUUCCUCCCCUCCACAAGCAGCAGCCACUCUGAGAGGACUUCUGCACCCAUCAGGCUCCAAGCCUGGCCAGAGCCUCCCUCCAAUUUAGGUGCUCUCCGGCCCUGGGAAGCCUGGGGCCUCCUUCCUGCUGAGGGGCCUGACUCAAGGAGCUUUCCUGACUACUUUACAAAUGAAAGAAUGAGAGAGAAAAGAACAAGGUUAAAGUCUUAGAAGCUCUUCACCAAAAACCCUAAUAAGGAGAGAUACAGAAGUUUCCAGAUUAAAUAAUACUAAUUUACUUAGGGACUGGCUGGCUCCAGGAAGAGUCUGUGACCUCAGAUAAGUGAACACCCACCUGGGGGCAAUUUGUACCCAUUUUUUCUAACUUAGCAUCUUGGCAUGCUAAGGAUUAUUUCCUCCUGCAAGAGGACUGGGGAGUAAGGAAAUUCCAAGUGCAGAAAUGGAAUUGGUUGUAUAUAAAAUUCAUGAUUUCUGAACAAGCAGGAGGAUUGUGAUACCACAGCAUCGUACAGGGAUUUAAACCCAGGCUGGCCUGCCUAGGAGCCUGGGCUUUUGUUCUCAAACUGUCCCAUUACCCCAGCUUCUGCCCACUCGUCCAGAACAGCUUUCUCUUGGCCUGAAGGACACUGUUGCUUCCUUGUUACGUCACUGACUCAGUCACAAUUGGGCUGAGAGCAGAGCGUGGCCCGGCCCGCCAGGUCCCCAGGGCAGCCCCGGCUGGCCCGGCCUAGCCACAUACGCACCAUGAAGUACCCUCUGGUGCCACUGGUGAACGAGCUGACAUUUUCUUUCCUGGUGUUCUGGCUCUGUCUGCCCGUGGCCUUGCUGUUGUUCUUGCUGAUCAUCUGGCUACGCUUCUUACUCAACCAAGAUUCAGAGGAAAAUGACUCAGAUGUAUGCCUCGAUUGGGAGCCCUGGAGCAAAGACCCUGACGAGUUUUGCCAGGAGGAGAUGCUCCACAACCAAGAGGAGGAGAGGCCUUGCUGCUGAGCCUAUUCUGCCUGGUGAGGCCCCUCUGAGGGUUGGAGAGCUGGAACCAGAAGCCUCAGCGCUUCUGAAGCCUCAGCCAAAGCCUAGGGUGGCUGCCAUCCUAGAAGUCUGCUCCCUCCACUGUGCUGGAAAGCUUGAGAUCUCUGCCAUCAGAGAGCCUUCUGCCUUGUGUGGGAGACCUGGUUUUGCAGGUUCAGCGUUUCACUACUUCCCAGCCUGGUUUUCCUGGCAUCAGUGGAGCCGUGGCCAUGGCCGACGGCGAUGGGAGACUCUCCAGGGAGAGGAGAGGACUUGGGCGAAUGAGGUGCUCCCCUGUGAGCCCAGUUUGGCUCCUCCACUGAUGGACACACGAAUGCCUCCAGAGACCCAGCUCUUCUCUGUUACAGAUGACCUCCCCCGCCCCCUAGGGAGGAGCCAGAGCUCCUCUUAUACUGUGAAGACAGCAUAAGCGGGCCCCCAGGGAGAAGCUGGCCAGCUGAGCUCAGAGGUCUGCGAGGGGAGGGCUGGGCCGGAGGGCGUGGAUCUGUAUUAAAGAAACAAACAGGGUUCCUGUGCUCAGGAGACCCUGACAAACCUGCUGGGCCUGAUCAAGCCCACUCAUUUGACAAGCUGUGGGGCCGGGGGCAGCCCUGGCACCGGAGUAGUCCUGGCACCGUCUCGUGCCAUCCUGACCUUUGGCGAUCUGUUCCCAUCUGUCCAAAGGGCUGGCAGAUCCUGCUCUGAACUUCUGUUCUCUCAUUUCAGGCACAAAUUCACUCAUCUUUUUUUUUU